RNAcentral lists this ribosomal RNA (877 nucleotides) under Rickenella fibula. RNAcentral describes it as "LSU rRNA". It matches the Rfam family "Eukaryotic large subunit ribosomal RNA", at positions 74 to 938 of the family's 3401-position model. Lineage: Eukaryota; Fungi; Basidiomycota; Agaricomycetes; Hymenochaetales; Rickenellaceae. The record is from RNAcentral.
AUUCCCCUAGUAACUGCGAGUGAAGCGGGAAAAGCUCAAAUUUAAAAUCUGGCGGUCAUGCCGUCCGAGUUGUAAUCUGGAGAAGCGUUUUCCGUGUUGGACCGUGUACAAGUCUCUUGGAACAGAGCGUCAUAGAGGGUGAGAAUCCCGUCUUUGACACGGACUACCAAUGCUUUGUGAUACGCUCUCAAAGAGUCGAGUUGUUUGGGAAUGCAGCUCAAAAUGGGUGGUAAAUGCCAUCUAAAGCUAAAUAUUGGCGAGAGACCGAUAGCGAACAAGUACCGUGAGGGAAAGAUGAAAAGCACUUUGGAAAGAGAGUUAAACAGUACGUGAAAUUGUUGAAAGGGAAACGCUUGAAGUCAGUCGCGUUGUCUGGGACUCAGCCUUGCUUCUGCAUGGUGUAUUUCCUGGUUAACGGGCCAACAUCGAUUUUGGUCGGUGGAUAAAGUCAAGAGGAAUGUGGCACCUUCGGGUGUGUUAUAGCCUCUUGUCGGAUGCAUCGACUGGGAUCGAGGAUCGCAGCACGCCUUUUUGGCCGGGGUUCGCCCACGUAACGUGCUUAGGAUGUUGGCAUAAUGGCUUUAAUCGACCCGUCUUGAAACACGGACCAAGGAGUCUAACAUGCCCGCGAGUGUUAGGGUGGAAAACCCUUGCGCGUAAUGAAAGUGAAAGUUGGGACCUCUGUCAUGGGGGGCACCGACGCCCGGCCUUGAACUUCUGUGACGGCGCCGCGGUAGAGCGUGUAUGUUGGGACCCGAAAGAUGGUGAACUAUGCCUGAAUAGGGCGAAGCCAGAGGAAACUCUGGUGGAGGCUCGUAGCGAUUCUGACGUGCAAAUCGAUCGUCAAAUUUGGGUAUAGGGGCGAAAGACUAAUCGA